Molecule: ribosomal RNA, 500 nt
Filed under: uncultured bacterium
Lineage: Bacteria
Description: partial 16S ribosomal RNA
Rfam family: Bacterial small subunit ribosomal RNA
Source: RNAcentral
AGCGAACGCUGGCGGCAGGCCUAACACAUGCAAGUCGAGCGGAUGACGGGAGCUUGCUCCUGGAUUCAGCGGCGGACGGGUGAGUAAUGCCUAGGAAUCUGCCUGGUAGUGGGGGACAACGUUUCGAAAGGAACGCUAAUACCGCAUACGUCCUACGGGAGAAAGCAGGGGACCUUCGGGCCUUGCGCUAUCAGAUGAGCCUAGGUCGGAUUAGCUAGUUGGUGAGGUAAUGGCUCACCAAGGCGACGAUCCGUAACUGGUCUGAGAGGAUGAUCAGUCACACUGGGACUGAGACACGGUCCAGACUCCUACGGGAGGCAGCAGUGGGGAAUAUUGGACAAUGGGCGAAAGCCUGAUCCAGCCAGGCCGCGUGUGUGAAGAAGGUCUUCGGAUUGUAAAGCACUUUAAGUUGGGAGGAGGGGCAGUAAGCGAAUACCUUGCUGUUUUGACGUUACCGACAGAAUAAGCACCGGCUAACUCUGUGCCAGCCGCCGCCGUAA